Aegilops tauschii subsp. strangulata is the source of this 5086-nucleotide RNA transcript. It is a transcript of the gene named transcription factor bHLH128, with no coding region annotated. NCBI's taxonomy places the organism in Eukaryota, Viridiplantae, Streptophyta, Magnoliopsida, Poales, Poaceae. The record is from RefSeq and is a predicted model, not a curated record.
UAGCUCCCACUUGCACCACCCCGCAUAGGAUAGGCCACGCCAAUAUUCCACGCCCAAACACACGCGCAGACCGGCGAGCGAUAGCUGAUAGCCCCGGCCGUCGACGACCCAAGCGCGCCACCCCGUCGACCGAUCUACCAGUACGUGUCCGGUCGCCCCUCGCCGCAUGCAGCUGUGCCGGAAGGGGGCUUAUUUUUGCUAACUGCACGACAUGAGGAGGUUCUUGCCGGCGGGAGUAGGGGAGCCCUCAUCCUCCUCCUCGUCGGGUCCGCACGGGAAGCACGAGGGCAGCGAGGCCGCCGCUGCUGGCGGCGGUCUGCGCUACGGAGGGGGAGACAUCUCGCUGGGGCGCGGCAACGACCUCCUCCACGGCCAGUUCCGCGGAGGCGAGGGGGAGAUGAAGGACGACGGAGCGGACAUGCUGGCCCGGCACAGCAGCUCGCCGGCGGGGUUCUUCUCCAACCUCAUGGUGGAUGACGGAUAUCAUGGCUCGAGAGGCGCCGGAGUAGCUGGUGGCAGCAGCGGCGGCGAAGCCCACCGUCACGCCAGUAGCAGCACGAAGAUGAAGUCCCAGCUGAGCUUCACGGCCGGCGGACAACAGACCACUGCCCACCUCUCGCGUAUCUCCGAGGGCGCCUCCUUAUUCCCCAGCGCCGACGCCGUCCGCGCUGCCGCGCACUCGGGCAGCGAGCACCCCGUGUCGCGUUCCUUCUCGGCCAGCGGCAGUAGCGGGGGCUUCUCCAUCGUAGGGCCGUGGGAUGAGUCGAGGGAGAUCAUCGGCACCCUCGAUCUCGGCGGUUACGAGUCUCAGUUCAGUGGCAUGGCGAGCUCGUCGUCGCUGGAGCUGGCGGGGAUGGACAAGUACAUGCAGGCGCAGCAGCAGCAGGACCAGGUGGCGUUCAAGGUGCGGGCCAAGCGCGGCUGCGCGACGCACCCGAGGAGCAUCGCCGAGAGGGAGCGGAGGACGAGGAUCAGCGACAAGCUCAGGAAGCUGCAGGACCUAGUGCCCAACAUGGACAAGCAAACGAGCACCUCGGACAUGUUGGACCUCGCGGUGGAGCACAUCAAGGGCCUCCAGAGCCAGCUGCAGGCCAUGAAGCACGAGCAGGACAAAUGCACCUGCUGCAACAAGCCUUGAGCAAUUAAGCAGAGGACCAAGGACUGAUCAGCACAACGCAAAGAAUGACACCACCCUUACUCGAGAGAAAUGUACAUGCAUGCAUGGGUAAUACUAUUGAUCCAACAUGAUGCAUGAAUUAGUGCAUGCCAAUGCUAAAUGAGUACAUGGAGCUCAACGGUUCAUACUUUAUUCAAGGCGGCAAGGAACUGGCAGCCGUUCUGAUGGACCCUUCAACUUGUUCCCAGUCUUUGGCCAUAAUUAUCUUGAAGCAGGUGGCUAGUAGAUCAGCCAUUGGCUCUCUUCGUAGCAUAUAGACGUGUGCGAAGUGAAAAGAAUAAAACCACCACAUCCCUGGGGUCAUAUGCAAAAAAAACACCACAAUACACACAACCUGCAAAAACCACCGAACGCAAGAAGAGAUCAAUGCAUGGUUCAAACAGAGGUAAUUUUAUGCAACUCUACACAGAUUCUACGGAUAGAAAACAUCAUCUACUAGUUGAGAUACCUUAAUCGAGAAUAUGAUGGAAAAACUAAAGGAUUUUACAAGGAGAAUCGGAUCAGAUCGACGCAUACCAAAGGAGGAAACCAUCCUUGAGAAACUGAGCCGAGGAAGAGACCUGCAAGGCACGGGAUCGAUAGAAAAAUGGUAGAGGCGACGACGACGGUGGCGUGAGACACCAAGGGUGUGAGGGUAAUAGGUGAGAGUGGGAACCCUAACCCCCACGCGCCCCGUAUCAAAGGGCACUUGGAACCGCUACCCCGUGCGCAUGGGCUAAAGUUGCCAGGGGCAUGGGGUCCCGUGCACGCGGUAUAGAGCCUGUGGGCACGGGGUGUCCAGUUGAUUUUGACAACAAAUGCAAGAAAUGGCACAUGGCUGGUUAGAACUAGCUAUCCUUACAAAGUGUCAUGCUGCAAGGUCAUCUCACUUCUGAACAUCAUCACAAAAGAAAUCCAAUACUACUUGAAAGGUGCAUGUGGAGCACUUGCAUAGACUGAAAAACAUGCCUUAUGAUGAGAAUAGAUUGAAAAGCAUGCCUUAUGAUGAGAAUGGAAUAUGAUAGAUCCGCACUAAAGCCAAUAUAGAUAUCAUAUACACUCAUUUUUGCAACAACAAAAUAGAAAACCCAAAAAUUGAGUGCACCAUCAUACUUUAGCAUAUAAUGACAUAAAGGUCUAAAAUACCCAGAUAAGUAACAAAUAAACAUCCAACACUAGUGCAGGGACGUCCUAUGCAAACGGUUUUUACCCCCUUUCGGUGACACAAUUUUAAACCGUCGCCUUGCUAACAUGGGCGAUAGGGGGUCCAUCCCACACGACCCAGAUAAAUCGUCGGCGAUAGCACACACUCGGAGCAAAAGAGCUCGUGUGCAAUCGGGUGAGCUGUCAUGAACAAUUGUGCGGGACAAAAUCAUGUGACAUGUGCUUAGCAUCCCACACAAUGAAUUCCGAACAAAAUUUUCCGUUGGUAUGGUGCAUCACACACAAUUUUUUGCAUAAACUCGUCUGUGAUAGGGGCGGCAAACGUUUUUUCUGUGUAUAUCGUUUGCGUUAUUCAAGUACAACACAAACAUGCCUACCUAGAAGAAACUAUAUGAAAUAAUGCUGCCCAUUACACACAUUUUUCCCAUGGAAAUGUUUGUGCAAGGUGGCCUAACGCAAUAGUUGACUGAAACGUCGUGUGUGGUUGUUCAUUGAUCUCACAUGUCUAGUUCUAGAAACUGUAGGGGUUGUCUGAGGUCAUCGGCCACGAAGUUGUAUGAGUAGCCAUCUGCAGUAUAAAAACCCAAUAAGUAGGCUAAUUAGCCCAUUACUUUUUAUACAUUUAGUAAUCAAAUUGACAUUUCAUAUCAAACACACAAUAUAUUUCAUAUUCAUGUAACGGCAACCCGGAUUUCAUAAUAGAAAUACAUCUGGGUACACAAUCACAUAGCUAGUUCGGCACUCAGUUACACCAUAUAGCUAGUUCACACCCCAUUACACAACAGCAACAAGUUUCACAUGCAACAUCUAAAACCUUUAAAAUGUAGCAUCAUAGAUGGUAAAUAGACAGAUAUAUCUCGUCUUGAAAAUUGCUGAAGUGGAAGGUGAAUACAUAUUGAGCCUUUAACGAUGUUGAAGGUCCUUGCAACUUUAGGCUUGUGGAUGUGGAUGAUUGCCCUCCCGUCCUUCGUCAUCUUGAGGAAGACUUCAAUAUUAUAUCGUGAAUGUUGUAUGAAUACCUUCCUCACCUCUUGACCAUACCGGUGGUUUGAGAGGUAACCAUCAGUGAACUGCUUUGAAAAGGACUGAAAACAAAGAUAUGAAUAAAUAUCUUCUCUAAAUCUUGAAAUGGCGCAUAGGAAAAAAACAAAGUAAAAGAGUUAGUACCAUCCUAUAGUUGAUUGAUGUCUUCUUCAUUGUGCAGACAAAGAUCUUGCUAUUUUUCGACGCUAGUUUCUUUAUCCUAACAAUCUUUCUGAAUUUCUCGACUUCACUGAUAUUUAUGGACAUCUCAUUUCCCCCAUACACAAAUUGGGUCGAACGAUGGGUCUAAACCUCUGACAACAGGACCUACAUAUGCGAGACCAAAUUAUUGAAAACUUAAAUAUUAGAACGGUUCCUGCAGUUGCACAAUAAUGUGCUAUUAGCCAAAGGAUCAUGUGUAAACCUCAAUGGUAAGCCUCAGUGUCUCCCAUUGUUACGCAGCAACAUAUGGUAGAUAUUGACCAGGUUAAGUGAGAAUUGGCAUACUAUCAAUAAAACAUGUUAGUGCAAAAUAAACACACCGCAGAUGCGACAGAUUAAUCUGAGCCACACGGAAAAGCCAGUAAACCAAAUCAAGCAUGCUUAACAACUAGUAUAUCGUAAUUGUAUAUGUUUCUUAUGUAUUUAGUAUAGCCAAAUUUGAUUUAUUUUCCACAUACAUAACACUAGAAAAUUGUACACACAACAAUUGAACAACACAUUGCAGAAUUGAACCAAACAGUUAACUAAACACCACAACAAAUAAACCAAAUAGUUAACUGAGCACCACAUUGCACAAUAGAACAUACUAGAAGAUCGUAUUGCAUAGUAACACUACAUUGGACAAUUGGCUAAAAAAUUCUAAAGGAAAUGUCGACAUUUUGGGAACGGGGGUACCCAUACUUGCCUGCCUGCGGCCCGCGGAGUGGCUCCAUUGACGGCCUGGAACGGCCCAUCUUCAGCAUCAACAACACAAGACCCUCGCGAGGCAGACGUGCCAAGACCUCCAGAAGGAGCGGCCUCCUCAAGCUGGCUCCUGAGGAGCGGAGAUUUCUAUGCAAGCCUUCACCUCGUGAGGUUUGGAUGACGUGAGAAGUGACGACCAAGGCCAGGCGGGCGCAGUACAACAGUUUCCUCUUUGGUGUAAGGAGGCAAGAGCAGGCGUGGAGUCCCGAGGAAUCAGCCAAAGGUUUCCAUUUUCAUGCAACAAGACCAAGACCGCCAGGACGGCAGGACAGAGGUCAUCGCCGAGCCCACCACGGCGUCACGACCAGAGGCUUUGCAGGCGAAGACCACCUUUUGUCAGGAUAGGAUGUACCAGUUGUCUCCCUUCGAAUUUGGCCGUUGUGGUAUCCCUUCCCGCCUCCGUUUUGGGGAAGAGGACCAAGGCCACUAUAAAUAGGGCCUAGCCACCACCGUAGAAGGGACGGAUCAUUCAUCAGCUCACCAGCUCACCCAAACACAAGAACACACCUCCUGAGGUUGUUCUCCCACUGUACUAGUUCAUCCUCAGCCCACCUCGAGGCCAAUCCACCACAAAGCAGGAGUAGGGUUUUACACCACAAGGUGGCCCGAACCUGGGUAAACUGCCUUGUCCCAUUUACUCCCAGUUCAUCGAGCUAGGCCGUGGGUUCAGUGAGUAGGCGGACUGGGGAGGUUGUGUUCUUCACACGCACCCCAGAGUUCGAAUCUAUCCAGGGUCUGUGGAGCCCUGAAUCCGACAUUUGGCGCACCAGGUAGGGG